This 418-nucleotide ribosomal RNA is filed under the name uncultured Streptococcus sp. RNAcentral's name for it is "bacterial SSU rRNA". It matches the Rfam family "Bacterial small subunit ribosomal RNA", at positions 963 to 1382 of the family's 1533-position model. The record is from RNAcentral. Lineage: Bacteria; Bacillati; Bacillota; Bacilli; Lactobacillales; Streptococcaceae.
GAAGAACCUUACCAGGUCUUGACAUCCCGAUGCUAUUCUAGAGAUAGAAAGUUACUUCGGUACAUCGGUGACAGGUGGUGCAUGGUUGUCGUCAGCUCGUGUCGUGAGAUGUUGGGUUAAGUCCCGCAACGAGCGCAACCCCUAUUGUUAGUUGCCAUCAUUCAGUUGGGCACUCUAGCGAGACUGCCGGUAAUAAACCGGAGGAAGGUGGGGAUGACGUCAAAUCAUCAUGCCCCUUAUGACCUGGGCUACACACGUGCUACAAUGGUUGGUACAACGAGUUGCGAGUCGGUGACGGCGAGCUAAUCUCUUAAAGCCAAUCUCAGUUCGGAUUGUAGGCUGCAACUCGCCUACAUGAAGUCGGAAUCGCUAGUAAUCGCAGGUCAGCAUACUCGCGGUCGAAUACGUUCCGGGCCUU